RNAcentral lists this ribosomal RNA (235 nucleotides) under uncultured bacterium. RNAcentral describes it as "partial 16S ribosomal RNA". It matches the Rfam family "Bacterial small subunit ribosomal RNA", at positions 118 to 351 of the family's 1533-position model. The record is from RNAcentral.
UGAGGAACAUGACUUUCGGCGGGGGAUAGCCGGCCCAACGGCCGGGUAAUACCGCGUACGACCUCUCGGGGACAUCCCCGGUUGGUGAAAGCAGCAAUGCACCGAAAGAGUGUCUCGCGGCCUAUCAGCUAGUUGGUGGGGUAACGGCUCACCAAGGCGACGACGGGUAGCUGGUCUGAGAGGAUGGCCAGCCACAUUGGGACUGAGACACGGCCCUGACUCCUACGGGAGGCAG